GUGGCGAACGGGUGAGUAAUACAUCGGAACGUGCCUAGUAGUGGGGGAUAACUACUCGAAAGAGUGGCUAAUACCGCAUGAGAUCUAUGGAUGAAAGCAGGGGACCUUAGGGCCUUGUGCUACUAGAGCGGCCGAUGGCAGAUUAGGUAGUUGGUGGGAUAAAAGCUUACCAAGCCUACGAUCUGUAGCUGGUCUGAGAGGACGAUCAGCCACACUGGGACUGAGACACGGCCCAGACUCCUACGGGAGGCAGCAGUGGGGAAUUUUGGACAAUGGGCGCAAGCCUGAUCCAGCAAUGCCGCGUGCAGGAUGAAGGCCUUCGGGUUGUAAACUGCUUUUGUACGGAACGAAAAGUCUUGGGUUAAUACCCUGGGAUCAUGACGGUACCGUAAGAAUAAGCACCGGCUAACUACGUGCCAGCAGCCGCGGUAAUACGUAGGGUGCAAGCGUUAAUCGGAAUUACUGGGCGUAAAGCGUGCGCAGGCGGUUUUGUAAGACAGUGGUGAAAUCCCCGG
Molecule: ribosomal RNA, 515 nt
Filed under: uncultured bacterium
Lineage: Bacteria
Description: bacterial SSU rRNA
Rfam family: Bacterial small subunit ribosomal RNA
Source: RNAcentral